UGCGCAGGCGGCCUGUUAAGUCAGGGGUGAAAUAUGACGGCUCAACCGUCAAACUGCCCCUGAAACUGAUAGGCUUGAGUCCGGGAGAGGUUGGUGGAAUUCCAGGUGUAGCGGUGAAAUGCGUAAAUAUCUGGAGGAACACCGGUGGCGAAGGCGGCCAACUGGCCCGGUACUGACGCUCAGGCACGAAAGCUAGGGGAGCGAACAGGAUUAGAUACCCUGGUAGUCC
This 229-nucleotide ribosomal RNA is filed under the name uncultured bacterium. Its description in RNAcentral is "partial 16S ribosomal RNA". It matches the Rfam family "Bacterial small subunit ribosomal RNA", at positions 568 to 796 of the family's 1533-position model. The record is from RNAcentral.